CUGCGAAUGGCUCAUUAAAUCAGUUAUCGUUUAUUUGAUAGUACCUUACUACACGGAUAUCUGUGGUAAUUCUAGAGUUAAUACGUGCUAAAAACCUCGACUUCGGAAGGGGUGUAUUUAUUAGACUAAAAACCAAUGCCCUUCGGGGCUCCUUGGUGAUUCAUAAUAACUCAACGAAUCGCAUGGCCUUGCGCCGGCGAUGGUUCAUUCAAAUUUCUGCCCUAUCAACUUUCGAUGCUAGGGUAGUGGCCUAGCAUGGUUACAACGGGUAACGGGGGAUUAGGGUUCUAUUCCGGAGAGGGAGCCUGAGAAACGGCUACCACAUCCAAGGAAGGCAGCAGGCGCGCAAAUUACCCAAUCCCGACACGGGGAGGUAGUGACAAUAAAUACUGAUACAGGGCUCUUUUGGGUCUUGUAAUUGGAAUGAGUACGAUUUAAACACCCUAACGAGGAACAAUUGGAGGGCAAGUCUGGUGCCAGCAGCCGCGGUAAUUCCAGCUCCAAUAGCGUAUAUUAAAGUUGUUGCAGUUAAAACGCUCGUCGUUGAACCUUGGGCCUGGGCGACCGGUCUCCCUCACCGGAUGCACUGGUUCGGCCGGGCCUUUCCUUCUGGGGAAUCGCAUGCCCUUCGCUGGGCGUGUCGAGGAUCCAGGACUUUUACUUUGAAAAAAUUAGAGUGUUCAAAGCAGGCCUUUGCUCGAAUACCUUAGCAUGGAAUAAUAGAAUAGGACGUCGGUCCUAUUUUGUUGGUUUCUAGGACCGCCGUAAUGAUUAAUAGGGUCAGUUGGGGGCAUCAGUAUUCAAUUGUCAGAGGUGAAAUUCUUAGAUUUAUUGAAGACUAACUACUGCGAAAGCAUUUGCCAAAGAUGUUUUCAUUAAUCAGUGAACGAAAGUUAGGGGAUCGAAGACGAUCAGAUACCGUCGUAGUCCUAACCAUAAACUAUGCCGACUAGGGAUCGGGCGAUGUUAUCAUUUUGACUCUCUCGGCACCUUACGAGAAAUCAAAAUGUUUUGGUUCUGGGGGAAUAUGUCGCA
RNAcentral lists this ribosomal RNA (1035 nucleotides) under Aliquandostipite khaoyaiensis. RNAcentral's name for it is "SSU rRNA". It matches the Rfam family "Eukaryotic small subunit ribosomal RNA", at positions 87 to 1133 of the family's 1831-position model. The record is from RNAcentral. Lineage: Eukaryota; Fungi; Ascomycota; Dothideomycetes; Jahnulales; Aliquandostipitaceae.